GCUUCCCCUCUCCAUGCUGCUGAGCUGCGAGCCAGGCACGAGGCAGCAGGAUGCGGCCAAGAAGCCUUCUGCCAGCGUGCUCCCACCGUGCACAGGCAGAUCCCCCAGGACAAAGAAAGCGGGACAAAAGGAACCAGCUCCUCCAGCCCAGCCCAGCGCAGCACUCCCUGCAACAGAAGACUCUAAGAGAGCGCUGCAGGAGCUCCGGGAAGUGUCUGCACUGGGGUACAAAGCGGACCGCUUGCGGCCUGUGUACCGGCAGCGGAUCCAAGAAGCACAGGCUGAAAGGGCUGCAUGGGAAGACUGGAGUGCAGGGAAGGACUGGCAGCCACCCCAGCGGUUCGCCAGGGCAAGCAUGUGGGCUCCGCAUCCUCCAACCCAGCCCAGGGGACAGCAGGUGGGGAAGAGACAGAGGAAGGCUGAGGACCCUGAGCUGGGAAAUGAAAUGGGAGCGGCAACCAAGCUGGUACUGCAGGCUCAGGAAGCGUGUGCGGGCUCUGUUUGCUGCUUGAGGCACUCGGGCAGCUGUGAUGACGCUGCAGCUCAGGGACAGCCCCGGCCCAGGCCAAAAACUGCUGGCGGGGUGAAAGGCUGGGGACACACGGCACCACGGGGCUGCGGGGCUGGGUGA
This 631-nucleotide long non-coding RNA is filed under the name Numida meleagris (helmeted guineafowl). Its description in RNAcentral is "lncRNA (ENSNMEG00000006358.1)". Lineage: Eukaryota; Metazoa; Chordata; Aves; Galliformes; Numididae. The record is from RNAcentral.